RNAcentral lists this ribosomal RNA (476 nucleotides) under uncultured bacterium. Its description in RNAcentral is "bacterial SSU rRNA". It matches the Rfam family "Bacterial small subunit ribosomal RNA", at positions 9 to 480 of the family's 1533-position model. The record is from RNAcentral.
GAGUUUGAUCUUGGCUCAGAUUGAACGCUGGCGGCAGGCCUAACACAUGCAAGUCGAGCGGUAGAGAGAAGCUUGCUUCUCUUGAGAGCGGCGGACGGGUGAGUAAUGCCUGGGAAUCUGCCUGGUAGUGGGGGAUAACGCUCGGAAACGGACGCUAAUACCGCAUACGUCCUACGGGAGAAAGCAGGGGACCUUCGGGCCUUGCGCUAUCAGAUGAGCCUAGGUCGGAUUAGCUAGUUGGUGAGGUAAUGGCUCACCAAGGCGACGAUCCGUAACUGGUCUGAGAGGAUGAUCAGUCACACUGGAACUGAGACACGGUCCAGACUCCUACGGGAGGCAGCAGUGGGGAAUAUUGGACAAUGGGCGAAAGCCUGAUCCAGCCAUGCCGCGUGUGUGAAGAAGGUCUUCGGAUUGUAAAGCACUUUAAGUUGGGAGGAAGGGCAGUAAAUUAAUACUUUGCUGUUUUGACGUUACCG